RNAcentral lists this ribosomal RNA (460 nucleotides) under uncultured bacterium. RNAcentral describes it as "partial 16S ribosomal RNA". It matches the Rfam family "Bacterial small subunit ribosomal RNA", at positions 338 to 795 of the family's 1533-position model. The record is from RNAcentral.
CCUACGGGAGGCAGCAGUGAGGAAUAUUGGUCAAUGGACGAGAGUCUGAACCAGCCAAGUAGCGUGAAGGAUGACUGCCCUAUGGGUUGUAAACUUCUUUUAUAUGGGAAUAAAACGUUCCACGUGUGGGAUUUUGUAUGUACCAUAUGAAUAAGGAUCGGCUAACUCCGUGCCAGCAGCCGCGGUAAUACGGAGGAUCCGAGCGUUAUCCGGAUUUAUUGGGUUUAAAGGGAGCGUAGGUGGAUUGUUAAGUCAGUUGUGAAAGUUUGCGGCUCAACCGUAAAAUUGCAGUUGAAACUGGCAGUCUUGAGUACAGUAGAGGUGGGCGGAAUUCGUGGUGUAGCGGUGAAAUGCGUAGAUAUCACGAAGAACUCUGAUUGCGAAGGCAGUUCACUGGACUGCAACUGACACUGAGGCUCGAAAGUGUGGGUAUCAAACAGGAUUAGAUACCCCUGUAGUC